CUCUGUCUCCUGGCAAUGUCUUGCAGCAGGUGAGAUUCCAAAAGAAGCUGAAGGAAGAAAAUAAGCAGGCGAGUCAGUAGGCACAUGGACCCUUGGACACCAAGCUGUGGAUUGGUUGAUCCACAUCUUCUGGGGGUUACUGGAGGAGGCCUGAUAAUCACAGGAGCAAAUAGGCAACUAUUCCCAGUAGGACACUCAAGCAAACCGCAGUCUGGACAUGCUGCUCACCAGGGAAUUGCUCAGGAGCCUCAGGGGAGGAACCAAAACCAGGUUUCACCUGGACAAGUGACAAGCCUCUUCUGUGGAC
This 307-nucleotide long non-coding RNA is filed under the name Serinus canaria (Common canary). Its description in RNAcentral is "lncRNA (ENSSCAG00000003479.1)". Lineage: Eukaryota; Metazoa; Chordata; Aves; Passeriformes; Fringillidae. The record is from RNAcentral.